GGGAGGAUCUCAUUGAUGUCUACAAAACCCGAAAGGCAUCCCAAUGCGGGGGAAGAGAGGCUCAGCCCGUCGACUGAUCCCAGGAGUCAGGAGAUCCUCAGGAUGGUGUAUUUCCUCGGGAUGGUGGAGCUUGAGUGACUCUAGUCAAGCAUAUCUUAGUUAUGACUGGUGAAAAGUUUUCCCAUCUCUGUUUAAAGUGGAGCAGGUGGACCUGCCCUAAAGAAGGCUGUGGCCUGUGGAGAACCCUUGCUGGAGCAGAUUCUGGGCUGGACCUGUAGCCUGUGGAGAGGAGACCAUGCAGGAGCAUGUGACCUGGCAGGAGCUGCUGCCCAUGGGGCACCCACGUUGGAGCAGUGUGCUUCUGAUGGAUGGACCCUGUGGUAUGGACCAUAUUUGGAGCUGUUCUUGAAGAGCUGCUGACUGUGGGAAGCCCAUGCAGGAUCAGUUCAGGAAGGACACGCUUCCUAUGGGAGGGACCCCACAUUGCAGCAGGGGAAGAGAGUGAUUGAGGAGUGGAAGAGAUGAAGUUCUUAUACAAUGACUGCAGCUCCCAUUCCCCCAUUCCCCUGCACUGCUCGGCAGGAAGAGGUGGAAGAGGGUGGAUGGGAGCAAGGUGUUUUCUUUUCUUUCCUUUGCUUCUCACUUCUCUAUCUUGUUAGUAUUAGGCAAUAAAUUUUACUAUCUCCCUACUCUGAGUCUGUUUUGCCUGUCAUUAUAAUUGUUGAGUGUUCUCCCUGUCCUUACCUCAACCCUUGAGCACUUUGCAUCGUAUUUUCUCCCCCUUUCCCUUUGAGGAGGGGAAGUGAGAGAGCAGUUAUG
Molecule: long non-coding RNA, 819 nt
Organism: Cygnus atratus (black swan)
Lineage: Eukaryota; Metazoa; Chordata; Aves; Anseriformes; Anatidae
Exons: 4
Source: RefSeq, a predicted model, not a curated record